UAUUGCUUGUUCAACAUUCUACUUUUCCAACCCCACUUUCACCUAAAAAGACUUCUCUCUUACUCACAUCUAUCUCACUUGUGCACACAAGCCCACACAUUAUUAUUAUUUCUGAUAAUCAACCUAAGAGGAAAAACAAGUAAUCAACCUAAAAGGAAAAACAAAAACAGGAAACCAAGUACUAGCUUGCAGUCCAAAACCCUAAACCAGAAAAGGAAAAAAAAAAAGUUACCAGAUCCUGCAGCAACAUUGCUUCGAUGGAUUUUAUCACU
This 272-nucleotide long non-coding RNA is filed under the name Coffea arabica (coffee). RNAcentral's name for it is "long non-coding RNA (CARA_LNC000926)". The record is from RNAcentral. Lineage: Eukaryota; Viridiplantae; Streptophyta; Magnoliopsida; Gentianales; Rubiaceae.